GCCAGCGUAGCUCAGUUGGUAGAGCAGCUGAUUCGUAAUCAGCAGGUCGUCCGUUCAAGUCGGAUCGCUGGCU
RNAcentral lists this transfer RNA (73 nucleotides) under Desulfohalobium retbaense DSM 5692. It matches the Rfam family "tRNA". From Rfam's summary of the family: Transfer RNA (tRNA) molecules are approximately 80 nucleotides in length. Lineage: Bacteria; Pseudomonadati; Thermodesulfobacteriota; Desulfovibrionia; Desulfovibrionales; Desulfohalobiaceae. The record is from Rfam by way of RNAcentral.